AAAGAAAAUUCGAUUCCCUUAGUAGCGGCGAGCGAAACGGGAAGAGCCCAAACCAACAAGCUUGCUUGUUGGGGUUGUAGGACACUCUAUACGGAGUUACAAAGGACGACAUUAGACGAAUCAUCUGGAAAGAUGAAUCAAAGAAGGUAAUAAUCCUGUAGUCGAAAAUGUUGUCUCUCUUGAGUGGAUCCUGAGUACGACGGAACACGUGAAAUUCCGUCGGAAUCUGGGAGGACCAUCUCCUAAGGCUAAAUACUCUCUAGUGACCGAUAGUGAACCAGUACCGUGAGGGAAAGGUGAAAAGCACCCCGGAAGGGGAGUGAAAUAGAACCUGAAACCGUGUGCUUACAAGUAGUCAGAGCCCGUUAAUGGGUGAUGGCGUGCCUUUUGUAGAAUGAACCGGCGAGUUACGAUUUGAUGCAAGGUUAAGCAGUAAAUGUGGAGCCGUAGCGAAAGCGAGUCUGAAUAGGGCGUUUAGUAUUUGGUCGUAGACCCGAAACCAGGUGAUCUACCCUUGGUCAGGUUGAAGUUCAGGUAACACUGAAUGGAGGACCGAACCGACUUACGUUGAAAAGUGAGCGGAUGA
This 586-nucleotide ribosomal RNA is filed under the name Staphylococcus aureus. RNAcentral describes it as "partial 23S ribosomal RNA". It matches the Rfam family "Bacterial large subunit ribosomal RNA", at positions 222 to 807 of the family's 2925-position model. Lineage: Bacteria; Bacillati; Bacillota; Bacilli; Caryophanales; Staphylococcaceae. The record is from RNAcentral.